UGGGACACUGCCUGUUGGAAGGGGAUAACUACUGGAAACGGUAGCUAAUACCGCAUAACGUCGCAAGACCAAAGAGGGGGACCUUCGGGCCUCUUGCCAUCGGAUGUGCCCAGAUGGGAUUAGCUAGUAGGUGGGGUAACGGCUCACCUAGGCGACGAUCCCUAGCUGGUCUGAGAGGAUGACCAGCCACACUGGAACUGAGACACGGUCCAGACUCCUACGGGAGGCAGCAGUGGGGAAUAUUGCACAAUGGGCGCAAGCCUGAUGCAGCCAUGCCGCGUGUAUGAAGAAGGCCUUCGGGUUGUAAAGUACUUUCAGCGGGGAGGAAGGCGAUGAGGUUAAUAACCUUGUCGAUUGACGUUACCCGCAGAAGAAGCACCGGCUAACUCCGUGCCAGCAGCCGCGGUAAUACGGAGGGUGCAAGCGUUAAUCGGAAUUACUGGGCGUAAAGCGCACGCAGGCGGUCUGUCAAGUCGGAUGUGAAAUCCCCGGGCUCAACCUGGGAACUGCAUUCGAAACUGGCAGGCUAGAGUCUUGUAGAGGGGGGUAGAAUUCCAGGUGUAGCGGUGAAAUGCGUAGAGAUCUGGAGGAAUACCCGGUGGCGAAGGCGGCCCCCUGUGACAAAGACUGACGCUCAGGUGCGAAAGCGUGGGGAGCAAACAGGAUUUAGAAACCCUGGUAGUCCCACGCCGUAAACGAUGUCGACUUGGAGGUUGUGCCCUUGAGGCGUGGCUUCCGGAGCUAACGCGUUAAGUCGACCGCCUGGGGAGUACGGCCGCAAGGUUAAAACUCAAAUGAAUUGACGGGGGCCCGCACAAGCGGUGGAGCAUGUGGUUUAAUUCGAUGCAACGCGAAGAACCUUACCUACUCUUGACAUCCAGAGAACUUAGCAGAGAUGGAUUGGUGCCUUCGGGAACUCUGAGACAGGUGCUGCAUGGCUGUCGUCAGCUCGUGUUGUGAAAUGUUGGGUUAAGUCCCGCAACGAGCGCAACCCUUAUCCUUUGUUGCCAGCGGUUAGGCCGGGAACUCAAAGGAGACUGCCAGUGAUAAACUGGAGGAAGGUGGGGAUGACGUCAAGUCAUCAUGGCCCUUACGAGUAGGGCUACACACGUGCUACAAUGGCGCAUACAAAGAGAAGCGACCUCGCGAGAGCAAGCGGACCUCAUAAAGUGCGUCGUAGUCCGGAUUGGAGUCUGCAACUUGACUCCAUGAAGUCGGAAUUGAUAGUAAUCGUGGU
This 1237-nucleotide ribosomal RNA is filed under the name Enterobacter sp. J54C24A. RNAcentral describes it as "bacterial SSU rRNA". It matches the Rfam family "Bacterial small subunit ribosomal RNA", at positions 118 to 1348 of the family's 1533-position model. The record is from RNAcentral. Lineage: Bacteria; Pseudomonadati; Pseudomonadota; Gammaproteobacteria; Enterobacterales; Enterobacteriaceae.